This 2194-nucleotide long non-coding RNA is filed under the name Anas zonorhyncha (Eastern spot-billed duck). Its description in RNAcentral is "lncRNA (ENSAZOG00000011819.1)". The record is from RNAcentral. Lineage: Eukaryota; Metazoa; Chordata; Aves; Anseriformes; Anatidae.
CUGUGCAGACAGAGCACUGGUUUACUGGUAAAGGAAGAAGGGUUUUCAGGGGCCUGCUGAAAGGAAGUUUGGUGUGAGAGUGACUCGGUGUCUUACUACACAAGUCUGGAAGGCUGCAGGGCUCCACAAGCAACAACCUCAGAGCAGCAUGAUUUGCUAGCAGCUACAUGCAGUGACUAAAUGAUUACACGAAGUCAAUACUCCUUAACAGCCCUGGAACAGUUUCACCUGGGCUCCCCACACCUGCCCACGGCUCCAUUUAAGCUCAGGCCAGCGGCCUCUGCUCUUUUCUGUGCCCUGUGCAGGCAUGCCUGCCUCCAGCCCUCCUCUGGCUGUGCCUCUAGGAUGGACACCAGCCGUGCUAUGCAGUGUAGAAUGGACCAGAAGAAGUGGUGGGCUGAGCUGUGCUGCUUGCCAUCCCCAAAGCACUGGGAGCGUGUGUGGGUGGUGUGUCCUCCGUCCCUCCUCACUUCCCUGCAGGUGCUGUGACUACUGGUGCACAGCACAUCGACUUCAUGCUGCCAUAAGCCCUGCUGCUUGCCUGUGGGGGGCUGUUUUGGGGCAGAAAGGUCUUGGCAGCACUGUGGUGGCAGAGGGGAAGCAGCUGGGUGCCUGUGGUGUGGGCUGCUGGUGGUCUCAUCCUUGCCAGCGGCCUCUGUGCUUCAGCAACGGCUGCUGAGGGAAGAUGUCUGUUUCUGUUAACUGAACCCAGAAACACUUCUCAUUUCUGUCUCCACUAGUGUAACAGCCCCAUGUGUUGCUUUUGCCUUCUGUACACACUUCCUGACAAUAAAGAUGUUUUUUUCUGCCUAUCUCCUUUCAUUCUCUACUGUUCCCUCCCUCCCCCCAUCAAUCUCCAAUCCUCAUAAAAGCCAUCAUCUGUUCUAUUUUUAUUUUUUUUGUUCUAGCCAAUAGUUUUGUCUCUGUCCUCCUUGGUUCUGAAGACCUUUUUCUUAUGUAGGCAGGUCAUCUCCCACACUUGUUUCCACUACCAUUUUUGCAAACUUGGCUCUUGUUUUGUUCAUUUCCUGCUUCGUUUCCUUUACCUCUCCCCUAUCUUUUCCUUUUUGUCUCUGAAAUCUUUAAUCUGUCUCUAGACGAAGUCAUCCUCCCUCACAGGCACUUCAAAUUUCAGUCCUCCAGGCUGUUUCUGCCCUCAUAAUGUUCAUUUUCACCUCCUUGCUGCUGCUUCCCACUCCACCUUCACACACCUCUGCUCAGCCCACACACACCCUUUCUCCUCCUCUGCCUGCUGGCUGUUGACAGGGAUCUUCACUUAGCUUUUCCUCACCAGCUGUGUUCUCUGAUGUCAGUUCAUGUUUUUGUCUCUUCCUCCUGUGCUCCGUGACCUCAAAGAUUUGUCUUGCACUUUGGCUCCUUCCAUGCUGUCCAGCUUGACAGCUCCAGGCUCUGCCCUUCAUCCCAUGCCUUUCUUCUGCUUUCAUUUCUGAGAAGAAUCUCAUUGCCUUUCUCCACUGCAUUUUGUGGUUUCUUUCUCUGAAAUUUGGAUUAACUUAGUGAUUAUUCUGUGGGUUAAUCAAACCCCAAAUCCACAGUUCUGACUGCUGCUUGUCACGUUGAUUUUAUCCUGCAAACUCCAGCCUCUUCCUGCCCUCAAACAACAUUUCUAUCUUUCUCAUAUAAAAAUGACAAAAUCUGACUGCCAGCUGAGACUACCUUGCCUGUUCAAUUCUUCCUUGAUACUCUAACCCUUCCUUUGCACAAUUCCAAGUGCCAUAUAUCUUUAAUAACUACCAUCCUGUCUUCAGUCUUAGUUUACCCUGUCAGCCAGUACUUCCAACUGUGCUCUGCCUGAAUUUUGUCUUCCCUUAGCCAAAACGGCGUUAUGUGGGUUUCUCCUAUGUCUCCAGUCUUUCUGAAUGCAUCUUUGUCUGUUCUUCAGUCUCUUCCAGAUGAUCUCACUUAGAAAUAUAAAAUCUUUCUCUAUGCUAAGCAAUGUACAGAGCAAACCCCUUGGGUGGUUUUGGCCUCACCCCACUCAUCUGAAUUAGCACCUCAGGUGCCCAUUCAGCUCAGUGUUGUCCUUGCACUGCCUUUUCAAACUCACUGUAUCCUUUUUUUUUUUUGUCACAGAAGGUAGCACAGAAGUCUUAAUCUAUCAUCUGAUAUGGCUAUAGCUGUCACAUCACUUAGCAAGCUUCUUGGAAGUUCAUGGUGACUCCUAGUGUCUAUG